UCCUCCCCUUCCUCUCUUGGCGUUGCCCUUUUCCACUUCUUCCUCCUCCCCCCCACCCUCACACACACGGAGACCUCCCACCUCGCCGGACGAGAGCAGCAGCAGCCGCUGCCGACGCUCCCGCUCGGGGGGCAGAAUCUUGCGCCGUCUCCGGAUUCGUCCGGGUACUGUGGUUUGACUUGUUGGGCGAGAAAAAGAAAAGGGGGCGUGUUCUUUGGCUUGAUCAGCGGUGGAGGAGGAGGAGGAGGAGGAGGAGGAGGAGGA
This 264-nucleotide long non-coding RNA is filed under the name Oryza brachyantha (malo sina). Its description in RNAcentral is "long non-coding RNA (OBRA_LNC000170)". The record is from RNAcentral. Lineage: Eukaryota; Viridiplantae; Streptophyta; Magnoliopsida; Poales; Poaceae.